AACGAACGCUGGCGGCAUGCCUAACACAUGCAAGUCGAACGAAGCCUUCGGGCUUAGUGGCGCACGGGUGCGUAACGCGUGGGAAUCUGCCCCUUGCUUCGGAAUAACAGUUAGAAAUGACUGCUAAUACCGGAUGAAGUCUUCGGACCAAAGAUUUAUCGGCAAGGGAUGAGCCCGCGUAGGAUUAGGUAGUUGGUAGGGUAAAGGCCUACCAAGCCGACGAUCCUUAGCUGGUCUGAGAGGAUGAUCAGCCACACUGGGACUGAGACACGGCCCAGACUCCUACGGGAGGCAGCAGUGGGGAAUAUUGGACAAUGGACGCAAGUCUGAUCCAGCAAUGCCGCGUGAGUGAUGAAGGCCUUAGGGUUGUAAAGCUCUUUUACCAGGGAUGAUAAUGACAGUACCUGGAGAAUAAGCUCCGGCUAACUCCGUG
Molecule: ribosomal RNA, 433 nt
Filed under: uncultured bacterium
Lineage: Bacteria
Description: partial 16S ribosomal RNA
Rfam family: Bacterial small subunit ribosomal RNA
Source: RNAcentral